GCCGAGAUGGCGGAACUGGUAGACGCACCAGACUCAAAAUCUGGCGAGAGAAAUCUCGUGUCGGUUCGACUCCGACCCUCGGCACCA
Molecule: transfer RNA, 87 nt
Filed under: Magnetococcales bacterium
Lineage: Bacteria; Pseudomonadati; Pseudomonadota; Magnetococcia; Magnetococcales
Description: tRNA-Leu
Rfam family: tRNA
About the family: Transfer RNA (tRNA) molecules are approximately 80 nucleotides in length.
Source: RNAcentral